CGGGACUCUCACGAGGCCUCGUAAUCGGAAUGAGUACACUUUAAAUAUUUUAACGAGGAACAAUUGGAGGGCAAGUCUGGUGCCAGCAGCCGCGGUAAUUCCAGCUCCAAUAGCGUAUACUAAAUUUGUUGCGGUUAAAAAGCUCGUAGUUGCAUUUGUGCGCCGCGCUGUCGGUGCACCGCAUCCGCGGUGAUACUGACACGUCUGCGGAGCAUAUCGUCGGUGAGCCGCCGGUCAAACGGCGGUUCAAUAUCAAAAUCCUAUCGCGGUGCUCUUCAGUGAGUGUCGAGAUGGGCCGACAAUUUUACUUUGAACAAAUUAGAGUGCUCAAAGCGGGCUCAAAACGCUGCUUGAAUAUUUCGUGCAUGGAAUAAUGGAAUAUGAUCUCGGUUCUAUUUUGUUGGUUUUCAGAACUCCGAGGUAAUGAUUAAUAGGGAUAACUGGGGGCAUUCGUAUUGCGACGUUAGAGGUGAAAUUCUUGGAUCGUCGCAAGACGAACAUCAGCGAAAGCAUUUGCCAAAGGUGUUUUCAUCAAUCAAGAACGAAAGUUAGAGGUUCGAAGGCGAUUAGAUACCGCCCUAGUUCUAACCGUAAAUAUGUCAUCUAGCGAUCCGCCGACGUUAAUCAAAUGGCUCGGCGGGCAGCUUCCGGGAAACCAAAGAUUUUGGACUCCGGGGGGAGUAUGGUUGCAAAGCUGAAACUUAAAGGAA
Molecule: ribosomal RNA, 710 nt
Filed under: Epicephala sp. ex Glochidion acuminatum
Lineage: Eukaryota; Metazoa; Arthropoda; Insecta; Lepidoptera; Gracillariidae
Also listed under: 10 other names
Description: SSU rRNA
Rfam family: Eukaryotic small subunit ribosomal RNA
Source: RNAcentral